Octopus sinensis (East Asian common octopus) is the source of this 150-nucleotide long non-coding RNA. RefSeq lists it as uncharacterized. NCBI's taxonomy places the organism in Eukaryota, Metazoa, Mollusca, Cephalopoda, Octopoda, Octopodidae. The record is from RefSeq and is a predicted model, not a curated record. The transcript has 4 exons.
CCAGCAAGUUCAUGUCGAUUUAUAGUAGCUUACCUUUCGUCAUAUUUUAGAACAUGGUUGAGUCCAUAAAAUAGGAUUUGACUACACCUCCAUUUAGAGCACAGUUUACGCUAUUUUUCGUGGAUGAAGGUUUGUGUUCCUACAACCUGU